RNAcentral lists this ribosomal RNA (247 nucleotides) under uncultured bacterium. RNAcentral's name for it is "partial small subunit ribosomal RNA". It matches the Rfam family "Bacterial small subunit ribosomal RNA", at positions 26 to 278 of the family's 1533-position model. The record is from RNAcentral.
AGGACGAACGCUGGCGGCGUGCUUAACACAUGCAAGUCGAGCGGAAAGGCCCUUCGGGGUACUCGAGCGGCGAACGGGUGAGUAACACGUGAGCAACCUGCCCUUAGCUUCGGGAUAGCUCCGGGAAACCGGAAUUAAUACCGAAUAUGACUUUGGCUGACAUCAGCAGAAGUGGAAAGUUUUUCGGCUAGGGAUGGACUCGCGGCCUAUCAGCUAGUUGGUGAGGUAACGGCCCGCCAAGGCGACG